AUCUAACUCUGGCGGCAGGCCUAACACAUGCAAGUCGAACGAACCUUUCGGGGUUAGUGGCGGACGGGUGAGUAACACGUGGGAACGUGCCUUUAGGUUCGGAAUAACUCAGGGAAACUUGUGCUAAUACCGAAUGUGCCCUUCGGGGGAAAGAUUUAUCGCCUUUAGAGCGGCCCGCGUCUGAUUAGCUAGUUGGUUGAGGUAAUGGCUCACCAAGGCGACGAUCAGUAGCUGGUCUGAGAGGAUGAUCAGCCACAUUGGGACUGAGACACGGCCCAAACUCCUACGGGAGGCAGCAGUGGGGAAUCUUGCGCAAUGGGCGAAAGCCUGACGCAGCCAUGCCGCGUGAAUGAUGAAGGUCUUAGGAUUGUAAAAUUCUUUCACCGGGGACGAUAAUGACGGUACCCGGAGAAGAAGCCCCGGCUAACUUCGUG
RNAcentral lists this ribosomal RNA (434 nucleotides) under uncultured bacterium. RNAcentral describes it as "partial 16S ribosomal RNA". It matches the Rfam family "Bacterial small subunit ribosomal RNA", at positions 32 to 507 of the family's 1533-position model. The record is from RNAcentral.